Molecule: ribosomal RNA, 450 nt
Filed under: uncultured soil bacterium
Lineage: Bacteria
Description: bacterial SSU rRNA
Rfam family: Bacterial small subunit ribosomal RNA
Source: RNAcentral
GAAUUCGAUUAACGCGAAGAACCUUACCCAGGCUUGAACAGCGAGUGACCAUUCCCGAAAGGGAACUUCCGCAAGGACACUCGUAGAGGUGCUGCAUGGCUGUCGUCAGCUCGUGUCGUGAGAUGUUGGGUUAAGUCCCGCAACGAGCGCAACCCUUGUCUGCUGUUGCCAUCAGGUUAUGCUGGGCACUCUGCAGAGACUGCCGGUGAUAAACCGGAGGAAGGUGGGGAUGACGUCAAGUCAGCAUGGCCUUUAUGUCUGGGGCUACACACGUGCUACAGUGGCCGGUACAAACCGUCGCGAUACCGUAAGGUGGAGCUAAUCGGAGAAAGCCGGUCUCAGUUCGGAUAGCAGGCUGCAACUCGCCUGCUUGAAGUUGGAAUCGCUAGUAAUCGCGGAUCAGCACGCCGCGGUGAAUACGUUCCCGGGCCUUGUCACACCGAAUCACUA